ACUUUCUCCCAUCACGCUCAGGUGGGACCAUCCAGUUUCAGGAAAACAAGCUUAACACGCCCACUGAUUCUACAUUAUGCUCCUACCUCCCGGCAGCCUCGCCAGGCCCAGAACUCUCUCCAGUCAGCCUCUACAGACCAAGCUCAUGACUCACAAUGGCCUAUUGAGGCCCAUACCCUACCUCACGGCAGUCUCCGCAGAUGAGCCUACUGCCUCACAACAGCCUCCACAGGCACAGCUCCAUCAUUACAAUGGCCUCUUUAGACCCAGCUCCUGCCUCCCAGCCUUCUCUCCAGGCCCUGAACUUUCUCCGUGGGACCAUCCAGUUUCAGGAAAACAAGCUUAACACGCCCACUGAUUCUACAUUAUGCUCCUACCUCCCGGCAGCCUCGCCAGGCCCAGAACUCUCUCCAGUCAGCCUCUACAGACCAAGCUCAUGACUCACAAUGGCCUAUUGAGGCCCAUACCCUACCUCACGGCAGUCUCCGCAGAUGAGCCUACUGCCUCACAACAGCCUCCACAGGCACAGCUCCAUCGUUACAAUGGCCUCUUUAGACCCAGCUCCUGCCGCCCAGCCUUCUCUCCAGGCCCUGAACUUUCUCCGUGGGACCAUCCAGUUUCAGGAAAACAAGCUUAACACGCCCACUGAUUCUACAUUAUGAUUCUUCAGGCCCAGCAUCUGCCUCACUGUGGACCCCCCAAGCCAAGCUCCCAACCUUUCAGCAGCUUCUACACACCCAGCUCCCGCCUGCCAGUGGCCUCUUCAGGCCCAUGGGGCUCAUUCCUCACAACAGCCUUUCCAGUCCCAGUUUUUCCCUUCCGGCAGCCUCUCCGGGCUGAGAACCUCCUCAAGUCGGCCUCUCCAGGCCCACUUGCACCCUCCAGGCGUCCUCUCCGGGCCAAGCUCCUCUUCCUGGCUGUGUCUCCAGGCCCGACUCCUGCCUCUCAACAACGUCUUUGGACUCAGUGCCUACCCAUCUCCUGGCGUCCUUGGUCGGCCCACAGCUUCCUCAAGCCAAGCUCCCCAGGCCCAGGUCAGGCCUCACGGUGCCCCCUCCACGAUGAGCUCCUGCCCUCCAAUGGCACCUGCAGGCCCCAAAUGGUCUCCGGUCGGUGGGCUCCUCCACGCCAAGCUUGGGCCUCCCGGUGACCUCUGCAGGCCCAAGUUGUCCUGAAGUCAGCAUCUCCCAGCCGUGCCUCCCAGCAAGUAAGCAAGCUCUUUUGGCUCAACUCCUGCCCAGCUCCCAACCGCCUUUGUAGGUCCCGAACUUUCUCCAGCCACGUUCUUUGGGCCUCAUUCCUGCCGCCCGGUGGCCUGUACGGGCCCAGCAAUGGUUGGAGAACGGCCUCUGCAGGUCCCGCUCUUGCCUCCCAGGGGCCUCUCCAGGCCCAGCUCUCGCCCCCACGGCGGCCACCCGGGGCCAAGUCCCUGCCUGCCUCCCAGCAGCCCGCAUGCGGCCCAGCUCCUCCCUCACGGUGGCCUGUUGAUGCCCAUGCCUCUGGUACCCUGCCCAGAGGCAUGAGCCCCUGCCACACACUGGCUCCUCCCACGCUGAGAGAGGUCAGCGUGAGCCCUUGCCUCACACCGGCCCCUCCCACGCUGAGAGAGGUCAGCGUGAGCCCCUUGCCUCACAUCGGCCCCUCCCACGCUGAGAGAGGUCGGCGUGAGCCCUUGACUCACACCGGCCCCUCCCACGGUGAGAGAGGUCAGCGUCACCCCCUUACCUCACACCGGCCCCUCCCACGCUGAGAGAGGUCGGCGUGAGCCCUUGCCUCACACCGGCCCCUCCCACGGUGAGAGAGGUCAGCGUCAGCCUCUUGCCUCACACCGGCCCCUCCCACGCUGAGAGAGGUCGGCGUGAGCCCCUUGCCUCACACCCGCCCCUCCCACGCUGAGAGAGGUCGGCGUGAGCCCCUUGCCUCACAUCGGCCCCUCCCACGCUGAGAGAGGUCGGCGUGAGCCCUUGACUCACACCGGCCCCUCCCACGGUGAGAGAGGUCAGCGUCACCCCCUUACCUCACACCGGCCCCUCCCACGCUGAGAGAGGUCGGCGUGAGCCCUUGCCUCACACCGGCCCCUCCCACGGUGAGAGAGGUCAGCGUCAGCCUCUUGCCUCACACCGGCCCCUCCCACGCUGAGAGAGGUCGGCGUGAGCCCCUUGCCUCACACCCGCCCCUCCCACGCUGAGAGAGGUCGGCGUGAGCCCCUUGCCUCACACCGGCCCCUCCCACGCUGAGAGAGGUCGGCGUGAGCCCUUGCCCCACACCGGCCCCUCCCACGCUGAGAGAGGUCAACAUGAGCCCCUUGCCUCACACUGGCCCCUCCCACGCUGAGAGAGGUCAGCGUGAGCCCCUUGCCUCACACCGGCCCCUCCCACGCUGAGAGAGGUCAGCAUGAGCCCCUUGCCUCACACCGGCCCCUCCCACACAGAAGAGGUCGGCGUGAGCCCUUGACUCACACCGGCCCCUCCCACGCUGAGAGAGGUCAGCAUGAGCCCCUUGCCUCACACCGGCCCCUCCCACACAGAAGAGGUCGGCGUGAGCCCUUGACUCACACCGGACCCUCCCACGGUGAGAGAGGUCAGCGUCACCCCCUUGCCUCACACCGGCCACUCCCACGUUGAGGGAGGUCAGCGUGAGCCCCUUGCCUCACACCGGCCCCUCCCACGCUGAGAGAGGUCAGCGUGAGCCCUUGCCUCACAGCGGCCCCUCCCACGGUGAGAGAGGUCAGCGUCAGCCCCUUGCCUCACACCGGCCCCUCCCACGCUGAGAGAGGUCAGCGUGAGCCCUUGCCUCACACCGGCCCCUCCCACGGUGAGAGAGGUCAGCGUGAGCCCUUGCCUCACACCGGCCCCUCCCCCGGUGAGAGAGGUCAGCGUCAGCCCCUUGCCUCACACCGGCCCCUCCCACGCUGAGAGAGGUCGGCGUGAGCCCUUGCCUCACACCGGCCCCUCCCACGCUGAGAGAGGUCAUCGUCAGCCCCUUGCCUCACACCGGCCCCUCCCACGCUGAGAGAGGUCAGUGUGAGCCCUUGCCUCACACCGGCCCCUCCCACGCUGAGAGAGGUCGGCGUCAGCCCCUUGCCUCACACCGGCCCCUCCCACGCUGAGAGAGGUCGGCGUGAGCCCUUGCCUCACACCGGCCCCUCCCACGCUGAGAGAGGUCAGCGUGACCCCCUGCCUCAACAGGCCACCCUGAGGGAGGAGCAGGGUCGCACGCGGGCUGCUGUGAGGCAGGCAGCGACUUGGGCCUGGGAGGUCGUGGUGGGGUGAGAGCUGGGCUUGGAGACUCCCCUGGGAGGCAACAGCGGGGCCUACAGACUCUGUUCUCCAGCCGGAGCUGGGACUGUUCAGGUACUGGGAGGUGGGAUGUGGGUCUGAAGAGCUUGGUUGCAGAAACUUCGGGGUCUACAAACGCAGGCGGGAGCUGAGCCAAAAAAGGUUGUUUGCUGGGAGGCGGGAGAUGCAGCCAGGAGAAACAGCUCUGCCUGCAGAGGCCGCCAUGCGGGAGGCGGAGGCCGGGCCUCCUCAAAUCGGCCUCUCCAGACCCACUUGCAGCCUCCCGGCAUCCUCUCCGGGCCCAGCUCUUCCUCCCGGCUGCGUCUCCAGGCCUGACUCUGGCCUCCCAACAACGUCUUUGGACUCAGCUCCUGCCCAGCUCCCAGCAGGCCCAAGUCGUCGUCAAGUCGGCCUGGAAUUGGGCCCGGAAGAGCAGCAAGUCGGCCUCCCCGGGCCCAGCUCCGUCCUCUCGGCGGCCUCUCCAGGUGCAAAACUUCCUCGAGUCAGCCUCUCCAGGCCCCGCUCCUCCUGCCUCCCAGUGGCCUCUUUCAGCCCAGACCAGCUCAUGGCUCUUGGCGGCCUUCCCAGGCCCCGCUUUUGACUUUUGGUGGCCUCUUCAGGCCCAGAACUUGACCUCCAGUGGGCCUUUGCAGGCCCGGCCUCCUGCCUCUCGAAGGCCUGCAUGGGCCCGGACUCACAGCGGACUCACAGCGGACUCUCCAUGCCCAGCUAGCUCUCGCCUCAUUGCGGCCUCCCGAGUCCAAAGCUCCUGCCUCUCGGCCGCUUCGGCAGGCCCAGCUCCCGCCUGCCAGUGGCCUCUUUAGGCCCAGCUCAUUCCUCACAACGGCCUUCCCAGGCCCCGUUUUUCCCUUCUGGCAGCCUCUUGGCCUCUAAUUUGUUUAUCUUUUGUGUAUAAAUCCCAAAAUAUUGAAUUUUGGAAUAUUUCCACCAUUAUGUAAAUAUUUUGGUAGGUGAUUUAUUUGGGGUGAGUUUCUGCACCAAGCCCGAAUUUUUUAUUUUAUUUUCCUUAUUAUUUGGUGUUAAACAGGUUUAAUGACGGUCAUGGCAACUGUUUGGCACAAUGAAAAAUAUCGCCCAUGA
This is a long non-coding RNA of Gorilla gorilla gorilla (western lowland gorilla), 4379 nucleotides long. RefSeq lists it as uncharacterized. NCBI's taxonomy places the organism in Eukaryota, Metazoa, Chordata, Mammalia, Primates, Hominidae. The record is from RefSeq and is a predicted model, not a curated record. The transcript is spliced from 6 exons.